Molecule: ribosomal RNA, 253 nt
Filed under: uncultured bacterium
Lineage: Bacteria
Description: partial 16S ribosomal RNA
Rfam family: Bacterial small subunit ribosomal RNA
Source: RNAcentral
UACGGAGGAUCCAAGCGUUAUCCGGAUUUAUUGGGUUUAAAGGGUGCGUAGGCGGACUGUCAAGUCAGCGGUGAAAGUUCUCGGCUCAACCGAGGAAUUGCCGUUGAAACUGGUAGUCUUGAGUGUAGAUGAGGUGGGCGGAAUUCGUAGUGUAGCGGUGAAAUGCUUAGAUAUUACGAAGAACUCCAAUUGCGAAGGCAGCUCACUAGGCUACAACUGACGCUGAGGCACGAAGGUGCGGGGAUCAAACAGG